RNAcentral lists this ribosomal RNA (497 nucleotides) under uncultured bacterium. Its description in RNAcentral is "partial 16S ribosomal RNA". It matches the Rfam family "Bacterial small subunit ribosomal RNA", at positions 28 to 507 of the family's 1533-position model. The record is from RNAcentral.
GACGAACGCUGGCGGCGUGCCUAAUACAUGCAAGUUGAGCGCUGAAGGUUGGUACUUGUACCAACUGGAUGAGCAGCGAACGGGUGAGUAACGCGUGGGGAAUCUGCCUUUGAGCGGGGGACAACAUUUGGAAACGAAUGCUAAUACCGCAUAAAAACUUUAAACACAAGUUUUAAGUUUGAAAGAUGCAAUUGCAUCACUCAAAGAUGAUCCCGCGUUGGAUUAGCUAGUUGGUGAGGUAAAGGCUCACCAAGGCGAUGAUACAUAGCCGACCUGAGAGGGUGAUCGGCCACAUUGGGACUGAGACACGGCCCAAACUCCUACGGGAGGCAGCAGUAGGGAAUCUUCGGCAAUGGACGAAAGUCUGACCGAGCAACGCCGCGUGAGUGAAGAAGGGUUUCGGAUCGUAAAACUCUGUUGGUAGAGAAGAACGUUGGUGAGAGUGGAAAGCUCAUCAAGUGACGGUAACUACCCAGAAAGGGACGGCUAACUACGUG